RNAcentral lists this ribosomal RNA (351 nucleotides) under uncultured bacterium. RNAcentral's name for it is "partial 16S ribosomal RNA". It matches the Rfam family "Bacterial small subunit ribosomal RNA", at positions 338 to 681 of the family's 1533-position model. The record is from RNAcentral.
CCUACGGGUGGCAGCAGUAGGGAAUCUUCCACAAUGGACGAAAGUCUGAUGGAGCAACGCCGCGUGAGUGAAGAAGGGUUUCGGCGCGUAAAGCUCUGUUGGUAGGGAAGAAAGAUAGAGGUAGUAACUGGCCUUGAGUUGACGGUAAUUACGGAGAAAGUCACGGCUAACUACGUGCCAGCAGCCGCGGUAAGACGUAGGUGGCAAGCGUUGUCCGGCUUUAUGGGGCGUAAAGCGAGUGCAGGCGGUUCAAUAAGUCUGAUGUGAAAGCCUUCGGCUCCACCGGAGAAUUGCAUCCGAAACUGUUGAACUUGUGUGCAGCAGAGGAGAGUGGAACUCCAUGUGUAGCGG